AUACGGAGGAUGCGAGCGUUAUCCGGAUUUAUUGGGUUUAAAGGGAGCGUAGGUGGGAUAUUAAGUCAGCUGUGAAAGUUUGGGGCUCAACCUUAAAAUUGCAGUUGAUACUGGUUUCCUUGAGUACGGUACAGGUGGGCGGAAUUCGUGGUGUAGCGGUGAAAUGCUUAGAUAUCACGAAGAACUCCGAUCGCGAAGGCAGCUCACCGGGCCGGAACUGACACUGAUGCUCGAAAGUGCGGGUAUCAAACAGGAUUAGAUACCCUGGUAGUCCGCACAGUAAACGAUGAAUACUCGCUGUUUGCGAUACACGGUAAGCGGCCAAGCGAAAGCGUUAAGUAUUCCACCUGGGGAGUACGCCGGCAACGGUGAAACUCAAAGGAAUUGGCGGGG
This 393-nucleotide ribosomal RNA is filed under the name uncultured bacterium. RNAcentral describes it as "partial 16S ribosomal RNA". It matches the Rfam family "Bacterial small subunit ribosomal RNA", at positions 523 to 918 of the family's 1533-position model. The record is from RNAcentral.